RNAcentral lists this transfer RNA (73 nucleotides) under Danionella translucida. It matches the Rfam family "tRNA". From Rfam's summary of the family: Transfer RNA (tRNA) molecules are approximately 80 nucleotides in length. Their secondary structure includes four short double-helical elements and three loops (D, anti-codon, and T loops). RNAcentral also lists the same sequence under 1 other name. Lineage: Eukaryota; Metazoa; Chordata; Actinopteri; Cypriniformes; Danionidae. The record is from Rfam by way of RNAcentral.
GUUUCCGUAGUGUAGUGGUCAUCACGUAUGCCUCACACGCAAAAGGUCCCCAGUUCGAAACUGGGCGGAAACA